AGUGAGUCGGCCCCUAAGGCGAGGCAGAGAUGCGUAGUUGAUGGGAAACAGGUCAAUAUUCCUGUACCGAUGUGCAGUGCGAUGUGGGGACGGAGAAGGUUAGCUCAGCCGGGUGUUGGAUGUCCCGGUUCAAGCUUGUAGUCGUGCCUGGUAGGCAAAUCCGCCGGGCUUAGAUGAGGAGUGAUAACGAGAUCAAGCUUGCUUGGUCGAAGUGAGUGAUACCCUGCUUCCAGGAAAAGCCACUAAGCUUCAGCUGCACACGACCGUACCGCAAACCGACACUGGUGCGCGAGAUGAGUAUUCUAAGGCGCUUGAGAGAACUCGGGAGAAGGAACUCGGCAAAUUGACACCGUAACUUCGGAAGAAGGUGUGCCUUUAGUAGGUGAACCAUUUACUUGGGGAGCCCAAUGAGGUUGCAAAAAAUCGGUGGCUGCGACUGUUUAUUAAAAACACAGCACUCUGCAAACACGAAAGUGGACGUAUAGGUGUGACGCCUGCCCGGUGCUGG
RNAcentral lists this ribosomal RNA (508 nucleotides) under uncultured bacterium. RNAcentral describes it as "bacterial LSU rRNA". It matches the Rfam family "Bacterial large subunit ribosomal RNA", at positions 1378 to 1872 of the family's 2925-position model. The record is from RNAcentral.